Molecule: ribosomal RNA, 425 nt
Filed under: uncultured bacterium
Lineage: Bacteria
Description: bacterial SSU rRNA
Rfam family: Bacterial small subunit ribosomal RNA
Source: RNAcentral
GUGGGGAAUAUUGGACAAUGGGCGCAAGCCUGAUCCAGCCAUGCCGCGUGAGUGAUGAAGGCCUUAGGGUUGUAAAGCUCUUUCAGUGGGGACGAUAAUGACGGUACCCACAGAAGAAGCCCCGGCUAACUUCGUGCCAGCAGCCGCGGUAAUACGAAGGGGGCUAGCGUUGUUCGGAUUUACUGGGCGUAAAGCGCACGUAGGCGGAUCGUUAAGUCGGGGGUGAAAUCCUGGAGCUCAACUCCAGAACUGCCUUCGAUACUGGCGAUCUUGAGUCCGGAAGAGGUGAGUGGAACUCCUAGUGUAGAGGUGGAAUUCGUAGAUAUUAGGAAGAACACCAGUGGCGAAGGCGGCUCACUGGUCCGGUACUGACGCUGAGGUGCGAAAGCGUGGGGAGCAAACAGGAUUAGAAACCCCAGUAGUCC